UUGGGAGCAUUGGGGGACUGCUCAGAGAUAAAUUGAUCACUGUAGGACCUUUGCUUUGUAUUUUUGGUGGGCUCAAAAGGUUGGUGGCUGCUGGGAUAUAUUUGAGGAGCUGGGCCUGAUUAUUUAGAAGGGCCCUUGAAUGGCCCGCUUGCAUCUGCUUCCAUUGGAGCGCCAGACAGUUUUGUUUCUUACAGAGGGAAGUGAAAAUCCCUGUUGCGCCGAAUCAGUCAGAGUGCAGUACGAGUAGUUAGGGCUUAGCCCCCAUUGGAGCGAUCUGAAAGCUUGGAUUGACUGAUGGGAAGGGAUUUACUGAGAAAUGUUAAAGCCUCUGCUGGUUGGGAUUGAGAUUUGGUGGGGAGGAAUUAAUUCCUAAUGUAGAUGGCUGGAGACUGCCGAACAGUAGCUCGCUGUGUUGGAAGCUCGCUAGGUUGGAGUCUCGGUACGUUGGAGAUUCACUGGGUUGGGGGCUUGCUGAUCUUGUGAAGGGGAAGUCUACACAGGUGAGAGACAACACCGAUCUUGGAGAAUGCCGACCCCGAUAUUUCCACAGAUCCUGGAGACCAUGGUUUGAGGAUGAGCAUAUGCCCCUUGAAGUUCCAUGGAGCUUGGUUAAGGACCCUUUGUUUAUCUUGAGCUGACUGGAAUGUGAAGAGGAAGAGGUUUGCUUCUAACUCUUCUAUGAGGAAUUUCUGUAUAAAAUCGCAUGCUGCUUUGAUACUUGCGUGUAUUGCAAAUUUGUUCAAUGGGCGAGCAGCUACAAGUCAUCCAACCAGUGCAAGCUCAGUAGUUUUUUUUGCUGCUGCAGUAGUUGGUACUAAGUUGAGGUCUUUCCAAGAAAAGAGCUUUUUGUUGGAUUAGUGAGUACAUUUCCGUAGGUUGUAUUAUUUUUAUCUGGAGAACGUUGAUUGUAUUUCUUUUAGGAGAGGGUUGAGUACUCCAUGAAGGAGUGGAAAGCCACUGUAGGGUGAAGAGAGACUCUAGAGAGAGUGGCGUGAAAAAAAGUCUAUCACCGAAUUUGAUAUCUAUAUUCUCUUAUUUCAAAACCUGCUGCAUUAGAGCUGAUGAUAUCAUAAAGCCUGAGCAGCACUGAAUGAGUGGUAAUCACUCUCCAGUAACAGAAUGAAGCACAGUGGCAGUGUUAUCUUCGUUUCUGGCAGCCUAAAACUUAAGCAAAACAUUGCCUGCAUGGUAAAGCAAAAUAAAGAAAACUGAAGGGUGACUAAGGCAUGCGUGUACGGCCUAGCUAUGGAGUUUGAAAAAAAAAAAAUAAUAGUUAAUACAACGAUAAGUUGUACUAAUUACUGAUACCCAGUCUGAGCCAUCAGCCACAAUAUCCCUAACCCUAUGAAAUAUUGGGUCUUGGAUUCCGGCAUUCAUCGCAGACUCUGCCGCCUGCAAAAUGGUUGGAAAAGAAGUUUCAAUUACAAUACAAAAGUAACAAGAAAUUAAGAGAACUUCGUAAGACUAGGUAAAUGUGGUAAGAGCAGUGCUCCUAGGGAGCCCCCCGCCCAACCCCAUCUACAUCAAAAAAUUACUGCAUGUCUAAUGAUCAGAAGGGUCAAUGAACUUAAAA
This is a long non-coding RNA of Juglans microcarpa x Juglans regia, 1573 nucleotides long. RefSeq lists it as uncharacterized. NCBI's taxonomy places the organism in Eukaryota, Viridiplantae, Streptophyta, Magnoliopsida, Fagales, Juglandaceae. The record is from RefSeq and is a predicted model, not a curated record. The transcript is spliced from 2 exons.